GACGAACGCUGGCGGCGUGCCUAAUACAUGCAAGUUGAGCGCUGAAGGUUGGUACUUGUACCAACUGGAUUAGCAGCGGACGGGUGAGUAACGCGUGGGGAAUCUGCCUUUGAGCGGGGGACAACAUUUGGAAACGAAUGCUAAUACCGCAUAAAAACUUUAAACACAAGUUUUAAGUUUGAAAGAUGCAAUUGCAUCACUCAAAGAUGAGCCCGCGUUUUAUUUGCUAGGUGGGGAGGGAAAGGCUCACCCAGGCGAGGAUACAUAGCCGAACUGAGAGGGUGAUCUGCCACAUUGGGACUGGGACACGGCCCAAACUCCUAAGGGAGGCAGCAGUAGGGAAUCUUCGGCAAUGGACGAAAGUCUGACCGAGCAAAGCCGCGUGAGUGAAGAAGGUUUUCGGAUCGUAAAACUCUGUUGGUUGGGAAGAAAGUUGGUGAGAGUGGAAAGCUCAUAAAGUGACGGUACCUAACCAGAAAGGGACGGCUAACUACGUG
RNAcentral lists this ribosomal RNA (497 nucleotides) under uncultured bacterium. Its description in RNAcentral is "partial 16S ribosomal RNA". It matches the Rfam family "Bacterial small subunit ribosomal RNA", at positions 28 to 507 of the family's 1533-position model. The record is from RNAcentral.